RNAcentral lists this ribosomal RNA (500 nucleotides) under uncultured bacterium. Its description in RNAcentral is "partial 16S ribosomal RNA". It matches the Rfam family "Bacterial small subunit ribosomal RNA", at positions 30 to 523 of the family's 1533-position model. The record is from RNAcentral.
AUUGAACGCUGGCGGAAUGCUUUACACAUGCAAGUCGAACGGCAGCACGGACUUCGGUCUGGUGGCGAGUGGCGAACGGGUGAGUAAUGUAUCGGAACGUGCCCAGUCGCGGGGGAUAACGUAGUGAAAAUUACGCUAAUACCGCAUACGAGCUAUGGAUGAAAGCGGGGGAUCGCAAGACCUCGCGCGAUUGGAGCGGCCGAUAUCAGAUUAGGUAGUUGGUGGGGUAAAGGCCCACCAAGCCAACGAUCUGUAGCGGGUCUGAGAGGACGACCAGCCACACUGGAACUGAGACACGGUCCAGACUCCUACGGGAGGCAGCAGUGGGGAAUUUUGGACAAUGGGCGAAAGCCUGAUCCAGCCAUUCCGCGUGCAGGAUGAAGGCCCUCGGGUUGUAAACUGCUUUUGUACAGAACGAAAAGGUUUCUACUAAUACUAGGAGCUCAUGACGGUACUGUAAGAAUAAGCACCGGCUAACUACGUGCCAGCCGCCGCCGUAA